CGCUCAGAUUGAACGCUGGCGGCAUGCCUUACACAUGCAAGUCGAACGGUAACAGCACUUCGGUGGCUGACGAGUGGCGAACGGGUGAGUAAUACAUCGGAACGUGCCCGAUCGUGGGGGAUAACGGAGCGAAAGCUUUGCUAAUACCGCAUACGAUCUACGGAUGAAAGCAGGGGACCCUCGGGCCUUGCGCGAACGGAGCGGCCGAUGGCAGAUUAGGUAGUUGGUGGGAUAAAAGCUUACCAAGCCGACGAUCUGUAGCUGGUCUGAGAGGACGACCAGCCACACUGGGACUGAGACACGGCCCAGACUCCUACGGGAGGCAGCAGUGGGGAAUUUUGGACAAUGGGCGAAAGCCUGAUCCAGCAAUGCCGCGUGCAGGAUGAAGGCCUUCGG
RNAcentral lists this ribosomal RNA (396 nucleotides) under uncultured bacterium. RNAcentral's name for it is "bacterial SSU rRNA". It matches the Rfam family "Bacterial small subunit ribosomal RNA", at positions 21 to 421 of the family's 1533-position model. The record is from RNAcentral.